UAACAAGGUCUCCGUUGGUGAACCAGCGGAGGGAUCAUUACAGAGUUAUACUAAACUCCAAACCCUAUGUGAACUUACCACUGUUGCCUUGGCGUGUGCCGCGGGCUACCUUGUAGCACGCACUACGGCCCGCCGAAGGACCACUAAACUCUUUGUUUUUACUGUGAAAUAUCUGAAUGCUUCAAAACUUAAUAAGUUAAAACUUUCAACAACGGAUCUCUUGGUUCUGGCAUCGAUGAAGAACGCAGCGAAAUGCGAUAAGUAAUGUGAAUUGCAGAAUUCAGUGAAUCAUCGAAUCUUUGAACGCACAUUGCGCCCAUUAGUAUUCUAGUGGGCAUGCCUAUUCGAGCGUCAUUUCAACCCUUAAGCCCUGUUGCUUAGCGUUGGGAAUCAGCGUCUUUACGGCGCUGUUCCUUAAAUUUAGUGGCGGAGUUAUAGCACACUCUAAGCGUAGUAAAUCUUCUCGCUUCUGAGGUUGCGCUAACUCCUCGCCGUAAAACCCCCUAUUUUCCAAUGGUUGACCUCGGAUUAGGUAGGAAUACCCGCUGAACUUAAGCAUA
Molecule: ribosomal RNA, 560 nt
Filed under: Hypoxylon fendleri
Lineage: Eukaryota; Fungi; Ascomycota; Sordariomycetes; Xylariales; Hypoxylaceae
Description: eukaryotic LSU rRNA
Rfam family: 5.8S ribosomal RNA (bases 201-354)
Source: RNAcentral